This is a long non-coding RNA of Brassica oleracea var. oleracea, 1279 nucleotides long. RefSeq lists it as uncharacterized. The transcript has 3 exons. The record is from RefSeq and is a predicted model, not a curated record. Lineage: Eukaryota; Viridiplantae; Streptophyta; Magnoliopsida; Brassicales; Brassicaceae.
GCUUAAUCGAUUCGUCCCCUCUUUGUGCGACGGCGACUCGGUGACGUAUCAGUUUCUUCUCACGAUCUGUAACGAUCCGACUUAUGGCUUAUAUAUUUCAGUGUUUAUCUUCUCACUUCGAAACCCUCGCGCUUCCAGUUCUCCAUCUCAUCAAGAAAUAAAAAUCAAUCAACGAUUUCACUCCAUUUGGAAAGCGUUUCAGAUAGUAUAUGAUAUGGUAAUGCAGAUCUAUACGGGGCCAUCGAGCUCAAGGAGACUGGGCUGCUGAAGGAAUAUCUGUUUGGAGACAACACAAAGCUGUCGUAUCUCAGAAUCGCUGAGCAUCAUAGCCUGCUUCGUACCUGGCUUUGUGUUUCUGUAAUCAAGCAAUGUCGUCGAGAGCUUCAGGGUCCAUGCUUCCUUGCGCCAUCCCACUAACCUCUCAAAUUUUGAUAGAUCUUCGGUCUACCACUGUAUGUCCAGUGUUUUUGAUGUUCAAGCCAUCCAAAUUCACCAGAAAUUAGUUGGGGUGGGUGUGGAGCCUAACGUCAUUCUUACCACCAACAUUAAUCCCAAGUUUGUUGGAGGUCACAACCAUCUCCCAACACACUCUGUAAUGUUUUGCCUAUAUAAUUUUUUGGAUACGCACUAUGCUUAAUUUGCAGGAUGCAUAUUUCUGAAUGCAACAUGAAGGACUUAUUACUUGGACAAUGAAACGUUAGCAAGUGAAACCUUCUUGGCUGGUUUGGGUGAGUCUAGGGCUAACUCAUCUACCAGUGCCACAUAAUAUGGUGGUGUGAAGAAACUUGAGUCCGUAAUGGUGGCCGGGCUAAAUGCAUACUUCCUCAGUUCUCAUCUGCAUUUAUUAACCGUUUGUGGUCCACCCUCCUAUAAGUUACCAUAUCUUUUGAGUUAGUAACGUCUCUAGCUGCAUUGCACACUGCACUGAUGAGUUUCUUUGCAUGAACAAAGUUGAGAGCAUUGAGACAAGCAAUGGAUGAAGCUUACAUGUGUGCCCUGCAUCUGCUCAGAUGGUGACAAGUUAGCUGAAACUUACACUGCUACCGGGAGCGGUGAGGCCCCGGUGAACCAAAACGCCUACACUCAAUGAACCCACAACAUCUACUCAAUCAACUUUUGGCGGGCCCUAGGCAUCGGAACCACAUGUUGCAUCAAGGCAGAGGGCACUGGAAAAAUCACGCAAUGCUUAGAUGUAUAAGUUACCCAUAUGAAUAGUUUUCUUGAUUUUUAAAUCUUUGUUUCCACUGUUUUUUUCUAAAGCAUGUCUGCUUUUUGUUUC